RNAcentral lists this ribosomal RNA (654 nucleotides) under Triticum aestivum (bread wheat). Its description in RNAcentral is "partial small subunit ribosomal RNA". The record is from RNAcentral. Lineage: Eukaryota; Viridiplantae; Streptophyta; Magnoliopsida; Poales; Poaceae.
AUGUGGGCGAUUUGGUAUGCUCGAAGACAGCUUAUCCACGAGGGGAUACAUCAGAGCCCAUACGAGACACACAGGUUCGUGCUCAGCUUUAUAGCUGAUUUGGAUCAGCUCGCGCCGGUGAAAGAGUCACAAAAAAGCACAAACCAGCCACAUGCCAGGCAGAGUUUUAGAUGGAUUCCACCGAGAGAGGAAUGUGUGAAGAUCAACGUAGAUGCUGGGGUUUCAGAAGGAACGAAUGUGGGAACAGCAGCAGCGUUAUGUCGCGACAGGGACGGAAAUUACCUGGGUUCUUCCAUGCUAGUAUUUGAAGGGCUAACGGAUCCAACGACGCUGGAAGCAAUCGCAUGCAGGGAAGGCAUGGCGCUGGCUCAGGACCUGGGAGUGAACCAUCUACAGAUAGCUUCGGACUGCAAACAGGUUAUAAAUCACAUUCAUCAAAGAGCUGGAGGAGAUCAUGGCAGUAUUGUCAGAGAAAUUUUACAAACUUCUACUUUAUUUGCCGCUUGUAAUAUUCUUUUUGAACCUCGGGAGUCUAAUUUUGAGGCUCAUAGACUAGCUAGGUUUGGCAUUUCGCUCCCUGCUGGGAGGCAUUUGUGGUUGGGCAUCCAGCAUGACCUGAUUGUAAUCCCUAUGAACAUCUUAGUCGAUCAAUAA